UAGGGAAUAUUGCACAAUGGAGGAAACUCUGAUGCAGCGACGCCGCGUGAGUGAUGAAGGACUUCGGUUCGUAAAGCUCUGUCGUAUGGGAAUAAGAAAGUGAAUGUACCAUGCAAGAAAGGAUCGGCUAACUUCGUGCCAGCAGCCGCGGUAAGACGAGGGAUCCUAGCGUUGUUCGGAAUCAUUGGGCGUAAAGCGGAUGUAGGUGGCUUUGUAAGUCAGGUGUGAAAGCCCUGGGCUCAACCCAGGAAGUGCAUUUGAUACUGCGAAGCUUGAGUGCCAGAGAGGUUACUAGAAUUCCAGGUGUAGUGGUGAAAUACGUAGAUAUCUGGAGGAAUACCGGAGGCGAAGGCGGGUAACCAGCUGGACACUGACACUCAGAUCCGAAAGUGUGGGGAUCAAACA
Molecule: ribosomal RNA, 405 nt
Filed under: uncultured Bdellovibrio sp.
Lineage: Bacteria; Pseudomonadati; Bdellovibrionota; Bdellovibrionia; Bdellovibrionales; Pseudobdellovibrionaceae
Description: bacterial SSU rRNA
Rfam family: Bacterial small subunit ribosomal RNA
Source: RNAcentral